Molecule: long non-coding RNA, 1418 nt
Filed under: Homo sapiens (human)
Lineage: Eukaryota; Metazoa; Chordata; Mammalia; Primates; Hominidae
Description: HSALNT0112084
Source: RNAcentral
UAUGCCCUUUAAAGCAAGUAGAGCACAUUACUCAUCACUCAAUCUCCAGGACCAAGUUAAUGUUCUGUAUAUAGUAAUGUCGACAGCAACAUCUCCCCCAGGUGUAACAACUAAACGUGUCUCCAGACAUUGGCAAAUAUCCUUGGGCCAUGGAGAAAACAUCACCUUCAAUUGAAAACCACUGGGCCACUCUAAUGCCUUCAAGGGACAGAUCCCAGGUCUAAACCCUAGCCAAAACCCCUUGUGUUAGAGGAGCUCACCCUUUACUGCUGAUGAAAUCUCCAUGAUGAAGUGCUUUCCUGGUGACACCCAGAGAUCGUUUGCUAUGUGAAUGCUUUUCUUGCUCAAAUUUCAACAAACAUGAUUGCCAAAAAAGAAAAAAAAAAGAAGAGAAAAGAGAACAGAAAAGAAGAAAAGAAAAGAAAGAAAGGAGAAGAGAGAGAAAGAGAGAAGAGAAGAGAAGAGAAAAGAAGAAAAGAAAAGAAAAGACCAGACCAGACCCAUAGAAUCCUAUGGGAUCUGCUGACAUGUUUGUCUGAACUUCGUCUUCCAUAUCACUGUCAAGAUAGUUUUUCUAACUCACCACUCCAAAAUCUAUGAAAAGCCUCCAUAAGCCCCUAGUUGCCCUCCAAAUUAUAACUGCAUUUGGUUCACACUUUUCCCUCCUCCUGAAGUGACUUUCCUUCUUAUUCCGCUUUUAAAAACUUUAUCACCUGCAAAAUUCACUUCAAAAAGAGCUCCCUCCAUGAAGGUUUAAUUACUCUCUUGGCCCUAAAGGAAUGACAUCUCCUGUUUGGCCUGUUCACAUUGCUGCACUGCACUGGUAACUCUUCAACGAAACCCAUUUUUACUCUUACCUCUUAUUGUUACUUAUGUACAGGUCUUAUUGCCUCUCUCAACCUCAACUAAACUAUUUAAGAGAAGUGUACUCAUCUGUUUAUUUCCUGCUGAGUCUAGUCCAAUCUCUUAUAAUUUUUAGACCAUUAAAAAGCUAUUUGCUGAAGUGAAUUGAGUUGAAAUUGGUAUAGACAAGCCAGUAUGUCUGGUCAUCUUAAUCUAUAUGUUAUUGAACAAUGUGCCAGCUGGAAUCUCCUUUUAUGUAGUGUCCUUCUCAGUAUUCUUUUUCCUUUCCCAUGGCAUUUUGAGUCCUACUGCUAAAGUAGAAAAUUUAAGAAAGCAUGUUUUCCAUAGUGAAAGAAACAUAGGUAAAAUUCUGAUAAAAAUAAAGCAUUAGAACUGAACAUUCAAUUAGUAAAUGCUAAUAAAUCCAUGGACUAAAACAAAAGUUAUCAUAAAAGUAGCUAGCAAUGCACAAGGACAUGUUUAGAUAAUAUUAUACAAUUUAUGCUUAUUUUCUUUCUCCAGUGCUCAUUCUUUCCAAAUGUUUGUUAUCUAUGCUGGAUCUUGAUGAGAGGAAG